Molecule: transfer RNA, 74 nt
Filed under: Pseudomonadota bacterium
Lineage: Bacteria; Pseudomonadati; Pseudomonadota
Also listed under: 4 other names
Description: tRNA-Val
Rfam family: tRNA
About the family: Transfer RNA (tRNA) molecules are approximately 80 nucleotides in length. Their secondary structure includes four short double-helical elements and three loops (D, anti-codon, and T loops).
Source: RNAcentral
GGGCGGCUAGCUCAGCUGGCUAGAGCGCUUCGUUUACACCGAAGAGGUCUGAGGUUCGAGUCCUCAGCCGCCCA